Erinaceus europaeus (western European hedgehog) is the source of this 1442-nucleotide long non-coding RNA. RefSeq lists it as uncharacterized. The transcript is spliced from 3 exons. The record is from RefSeq and is a predicted model, not a curated record. NCBI's taxonomy places the organism in Eukaryota, Metazoa, Chordata, Mammalia, Eulipotyphla, Erinaceidae.
GUGAGUCAGCUGCACAGAGUAUCAUUAGCCAGGGUGGGUAUAAUUGUGUGGGAUUAAGAAAGGCAUGUGGGCAGGCAUCUAGCUCACUCCUUGCUUUAGAUCCUCCUGCAAUCAGCAUCUGUCACCUUGGGCCUCCUAGGAAGGAUUAGUUUGGCUCCUGAGUGUUGUCUUAAAGGGACUUCCCUGCUGCUGGAACUGGCCCCCUUGCCCUCUUAAAAGUCAUUUGAAGCUACAUCAGGACAUAUGGAUGCCACAUUUAACUCUGAUUCUUGCUUGAAAGAGUGCCAGAGCUGGGAAACUCAAAAUUCCAUGGAAGAUACCAAGACAAGGCAACAGCAGGGUGACAUUAAUUGCUGCUUUUGUGCCUAAUCUAUGGAUGGAUCAAAGGAGAGACAAUGGAAGUGCUUCAGCUAAAUCCUUGACUGAUGGAUCUGGAAUUAUUUUGGUGCACUAGAAAUUCUCAUCAUAGACAAAUAAAAAAUGGAGUAGGCAUGGAAGAUCUAGAACAAAUUUCUAUGACUGAGAAGGAUCAAGCACAUUCCUACAGACCAUCCAGUCUGCCAAAUAUCAUUUUCUUGGUUCUUCUACUCAUUCCAGGACAGGUACUUAUCCAGGUAGUCUGACUUUCUUGUGUUGAAAAUAACAGCGUGGGAUAACAUAGAUUUUUAAAAAACUACAUAUGCACAUAUAUUUUUAGAGCUCCUUGAACAAUUUAAGCCCAGUGUAAGAAUUUGAUCAUUUUACAAAUCUGAAACAUUACAUACUUAGGCUAAAGAAAAUAUGGUCAGAGGUAUGGUGUAGGCAGGUAGAUAACUUAAAGUAUUAAAUCUAUUCCUCCACCCUGAUGUGUUACAUUAAUAGUGAUUUAUGAGAUUAUAACUUAAUAGGAGCUUGAUGUCAUACCUUUCCCACUACCAAAGGACUGUGUUGCACUGACCUCACUCAUAAGUCACUACUUUCUUUAAAUUUUUAAAAUUAUAUUUAUUUAUUAGAUAGAGACAGCCAGAAAUUGAGGUAGAAGUAGAGAGGGACAGAGAGACACCUGCAGUACUGCUUCACCACUUGUUAAACUUUCUCCCUGCAAGUGGGCACUGGGGGCUUGAACCUGGGUCCAUGAGCAUUAUAACACAUGCGCUCAACCAGGUACACCACCACCUGGCCCCAAGUCAUUACUUUGAAUACUAUCAAAUACUACAGCAAAAGUUAUUAUUAUUUGGCAUAACAUCAGUACCAUUCUCUCUAAUAUAGUUACUGCUUUCCUUGUUGACAUUCACAAUUAAUUACUACAACCACCCACCAUCUCCAUUCCCUCCAUCCCUCUACCAUCACCACAACUACAAUUACUACUUUCGCAGUCUCCACUAAUUCUCAGAUUGCUACCACUUCCACCACCUUUACCAUUACUGCUGUCAUCACCAGCACCAUCACACCUAUUACUUUUA